Molecule: ribosomal RNA, 431 nt
Filed under: uncultured eukaryote
Lineage: Eukaryota
Description: bacterial SSU rRNA
Rfam family: Eukaryotic small subunit ribosomal RNA
Source: RNAcentral
CAAUAGCGUAUAUUAAAGUUGUUGCAGUUAAAAAGCUCGUAGUUGGAUUUCUGGUAUAAUGCGCCUGGCCCGCCGCAGCAAUGCGUGUGAGUGCCGGUGCGCGUUUGCCAUCCUUCUAGAAAACGUCUCUACCCCUAUGGGCGAUCGCGAUCUAGAUCUUUUACUUUGAAAAAAUUAGAGUGUUCAAAGCAGGCUUUUGCUGUGAAUACAUUAGCAUGGAAUAAUAAUCUAGGACUUCGGUUUUAUUUUGUUGGUUUCUAACACUGAAGUAAUGAUUGAUAGGAGUAAGUUUGGGGGGGUUGGCUAGUAUUGGCCGGCCAGAGGUGAAAUUCUUGGAUUCGGUCAAGACUAACUUAUGCGAAAGCAUUCACCAAGGAUGUCUUCUUUAAUCAAGAACGAAAGUUGGGGGAUCGAAGACGAUCAGAUACCAU